RNAcentral lists this transfer RNA (75 nucleotides) under Thermoanaerobaculia bacterium. Its description in RNAcentral is "tRNA-Val". It matches the Rfam family "tRNA". From Rfam's summary of the family: Transfer RNA (tRNA) molecules are approximately 80 nucleotides in length. Their secondary structure includes four short double-helical elements and three loops (D, anti-codon, and T loops). Further hydrogen bonds mediate the characteristic L-shaped molecular structure. tRNAs have two regions of fundamental functional importance: the anti-codon, which is responsible for specific mRNA codon recognition, and the 3' end, to which the tRNAs corresponding amino acid is attached (by aminoacyl-tRNA synthetases). tRNAs cope with the degeneracy of the genetic code in two manners: having more than one tRNA (with a specific anti-codon) for a particular amino acid; and 'wobble' base-pairing, i.e. permitting non-standard base-pairing at the 3rd anti-codon position. RNAcentral also lists the same sequence under 1 other name. The record is from RNAcentral. Lineage: Bacteria; Pseudomonadati; Acidobacteriota; Thermoanaerobaculia.
GGGAGGUUAGCUCAGUGGUAGAGCACCUGCCUUACACGCAGGGUGUCGUGGGUUCAAGCCCCUCACCUCCCACCA